Molecule: unclassified non-coding RNA, 102 nt
Organism: Cercocebus atys (sooty mangabey)
Lineage: Eukaryota; Metazoa; Chordata; Mammalia; Primates; Cercopithecidae
Rfam family: Y RNA
About the family: Y RNAs are components of the Ro ribonucleoprotein particle (Ro RNP), in association with Ro60 and La proteins. The Y RNAs and Ro60 and La proteins are well conserved, but the function of the Ro RNP is not known.
Source: Ensembl
GGCCAGUCCAAGUGCAGUGGUGUUUACAACUAAUUGAUCAUAAUCUGUUACAGAGUUAUUUGUUCCUUCUCCACUUACACUGCUUCACUUGACAAAUCUAUA